AAACAAACGGCCUGCUUGUACCUGCUAUCGCCCUCUAAGCUUCAGGUGGUGGGUGGGGCUGAGGGGCUGAGAGGUGGCCCCAAAGAAAGACAACCACAUCCUAAACCCUGGAACCCGUGAACAAGGCUUCAUUUGGAACACCAGUCUUUGAAGAUCCACCGGACAUUCCUGAUGAGUGACCCUGGCUGCAGAUGGCUCUUGGUGAGUCUCCGUUGACCGGGUGGUUCGGGCCAAAGGACCUUGCCGUGCGAUGCCUCCAUGGAGCUCGGCGGCCACCCCUAAUCCGGGCUGGAAUCCUCUGGCACCAGACGCCCGGCGGGGCUCCAAGGCUCCUGGGCCCACGCCAGGCCCCGGCCUGAAACGCAGCACUGCUGGAAUAAAACACGCCAGAGAAGCAGGGCGCUAGGCUCGCCUGGAUUUGGGGAAACGAGAAUUGUCAUGUCUUCUCCCUCCGUAGGUUGGUGUUAAUGAAAAACCCCCUUUUCAGCAUGGACUAAAUCCCGCUAAUUCUAUUUAGGGAGCAGUGUCUACUCCGGGCCGGGAACUGCUCCGGUUUCCAACCGCAGCCUCCCGUGAGGGUCCCAGUGUGGAGGGCCGGGGUCAUCCCCUCACUCUGGGAUGGCUCCCAACCCGCUGACCUGGCCUCCCCGUCAGGCACCCUCACAGCUCUGUCAGACUCUUCAUGUGAUCAGCGCUCCUGGGAACAUUAGUUUAGGGUGUUUUCUGCUGCUGGGAUGGUGGCCCGGGAGGGACCCUCCUGGUGACCCUGCUGGGCCUGGCCCUCAGUUUCCCCAGCCGUAGGCUGGCAGCCUCGAACUGUACGAGCUCCAGGCCACAGUUUCCCC
RNAcentral lists this long non-coding RNA (845 nucleotides) under Homo sapiens (human). RNAcentral's name for it is "HSALNT0254113". The record is from RNAcentral. Lineage: Eukaryota; Metazoa; Chordata; Mammalia; Primates; Hominidae.